Molecule: long non-coding RNA, 1420 nt
Filed under: Setaria italica (foxtail millet)
Lineage: Eukaryota; Viridiplantae; Streptophyta; Magnoliopsida; Poales; Poaceae
Description: long non-coding RNA (SITA_LNC006988)
Source: RNAcentral
GAAUAUUUAACCUAAAUACAAACAUACAAGCAUAUGACACAUUCAUAUAAAAAUCCACAAUAUUUCACAACGAAAGUGCAUAUACACAAUAGUUCACAAUGAAAGUCCAGAAUAGUUAACAAUGAACGUCCACAAAGUUCAUAAUAAUAAUCCUGUAGCAUCAUUGUCAUCUCUCCGAAAGGCAGGUGAAAGCUGUGAGUCUCGAACCGCCACCUACAUUUUAGACAAAUAUUACUUGUCAAAUAGGUAAGGACAAGAUGUAAUCACCAAAAGCAGAAAACGUUUAGGCGAAAUCAUCAUUUCCUCAGUUUAGCGAUUUGCUUCAAUUGAAAUAGAAAAAGACACUAUCAUCACUUCAUCACCUACUUGGCAUCGUCAAAUCUUUGCGACAGCAUAAAGUAAUCUAAAGUAAUCAGACUACGAGAAUUAAAAUGACAAUAGAAACAAGUCAAGCAACAGAUCCAAGAAUAGAAUUUAAAUUUGUUUGACAAGUACAAACACGUAGUUUGCGAAAAAUGCCGAGUGCUGACAGACUAUGAACUCCUUGAGUUUAAAACCACAGCUUUUUAUGGUUGUAACGGCAAUACAGCAACAUAGUCUGCCACUAUUUAUUGUCGUAUGCAGUGCGGAUCCUACUCUCAUGAUUUGAUAAUAUAACUUCUCAAGAAAAUUCCACGUUAUUCUAGAAUUUGAUCUUGUUCCAGUGUAGAGUUUCAAUACCAGGCAAUAAAAGCAUCUACAAAGCAUGCAGAAAACACAGGAUCGGCAGCCUGAAUUCACCAAAUACUAUCACCAAACCAAUCCAGACGCAAAAAAAAGAAAAAACAGCAUUGUAGUGCGUGAAGAUCCCCCGGUCGACAAACACCACCAGACCAUAUAGAGUAAAUCUUCCUUGUGUUCCAGAAGUAACACGCAGAAAACCAGAAAUAGCUCUAACGAAGCAACGGCAGCUUGAAUUCAACAAACAACAGAAAUAAGAAGAUCGCUGCUAAACUUUAAGGGAUAGAAAUGGAGUGCACACGUCUUCUUAUUCCCUGCAAUUUCUGAGGAAUCAACAUUGGUCAGACGCAAUCACAUACCACAAGCAGUCCAGGAAUUACGCAAUACACUAGUAUUUCGCGUCUUAUUUCAAUCAUACAACCAAUCUCGUAGCAACCAGUAGGGAACACUUACGAGCUACAGAGCUAGGUUCGAGUCUUACCCUUCAUGAUCCCAAAUCGAUGCAGAUUCCACCUCUGCUCGCUGCUCACAUGCCUCCCGGCGCACGGAAGGAUUUGGAGCUGGGGCAGCCGCCAGAGAGCGGCGGCGGCAAGGGGCGGCGGGAGGCGAGGGGCGGCGCGCGUGGAGGGCGGCGGCGGCGGCGCGGGAGGGUCGGCGAGGUACGGCGACGGGCGGCGGCGCUGGAGGAGCAAGAAAAGAA